GUGGUUUAAUUCGAUGCUACACGAAGAACCUUACCAGGGUUUGACAUACAAGUAGUAGGGAAAGGAAACUGGACCGACCCUUCGGGGAGCUUGUACAGGUGCUGCAUGGCUGUCGUCAGCUCGUGUCGUGAGAUGUUCGGUUAAGUCCGCUAACGAGCGCAACCCUCGUCGUAUGUUAUAUGUGUCAUGCGAGACUGCCGGUAAAAGCCGGAGGAAGGUGAGGAUGAUGUCAAGUCAGCAUGACCUUUAUAUCCAGGGCUACACACACGCUACAAUGGUCUGUACAAUGGGUAGCCAAGCCGCGAGGCGGAGCCAAUCCUGAAAGCAGGCCUCAGUUCAGAUUGCAGUCUGCAACUCGACUGCAUGAAGCCGGAGUUGCUAGUAACCGCAGGUCAGCAAUACUGCGGUGAAUACGUUCCCGGGUCUU
RNAcentral lists this ribosomal RNA (427 nucleotides) under uncultured Anaerolineaceae bacterium. Its description in RNAcentral is "bacterial SSU rRNA". It matches the Rfam family "Bacterial small subunit ribosomal RNA", at positions 941 to 1382 of the family's 1533-position model. Lineage: Bacteria; Bacillati; Chloroflexota; Anaerolineae; Anaerolineales; Anaerolineaceae. The record is from RNAcentral.